UCUGAACCACUCCCCUCCCCGCCCACCACAAUUCAACAUUUUCCACUCAUAACAUCAUGACAUUAUAACUGUGCUCUCUGGCAGUUGUGUCAUUGGUGAUUAGUAAAACACUGAAACAAUGACAUCAUGUCUAUAAAAUAAUCACAAAAAAUGCCGAAUAUUAGUGACUAAGUCUCAGAAUGGAAUUUGAGCAUUUAAUGUAAAUGGUGAAAAACUUUUUCUUUUUUCAAGAUUAUUUUGACUAUUACCAUGAAUUUCCAUAUGAAUUUUAGUACUAGCUUUUCAAUUUCCGCAACGAAACCAGCUGGGAGUUUGAUAGAAAUUGUGUUGAAUCUUUAUCUUUAUGUCAUUUGGGAACUAUUGCUAUAAUAACAGUAUUACAUCUUCUGAUCCAUGAACAUGGGAUGGCUUUCCGUUUAUUUAGGUCUUCUUUAAUUACUUACAACUAUGUUUUGAAGUUUGCAGAGUAUAAGUGUUCCACUGUAUUUGCUAAAUUUGUUCUUAAGUAUUUUUUAUAUUAUUGUAAACAGAACUAUGUUAAUUUCACUUUUAGAUUAUUUAUUGCAAAGGUAGAUAAGUGUAGUUGAUAUGUUUGAUGAGCUAUGAAGGGGAUACUGUAAUCUCACACAGCAUAGUAGCAGGAUUUAGGAUGGAGAGUAAGGCUAUGAGACAUUUUCCAAUGUCUCAGAUGAAGGAAAGGAAAGGCCCAGAGUUUGGU
Molecule: long non-coding RNA, 718 nt
Filed under: Homo sapiens (human)
Lineage: Eukaryota; Metazoa; Chordata; Mammalia; Primates; Hominidae
Description: non-protein coding lnc-FGF9-17:1
Source: RNAcentral